This 1605-nucleotide ribosomal RNA is filed under the name Salmonella enterica. RNAcentral's name for it is "bacterial LSU rRNA". It matches the Rfam family "Bacterial large subunit ribosomal RNA", at positions 1225 to 2812 of the family's 2925-position model. The record is from RNAcentral. Lineage: Bacteria; Pseudomonadati; Pseudomonadota; Gammaproteobacteria; Enterobacterales; Enterobacteriaceae.
UGGGUAGGGGAGCGUUCUGUAAGCCUGUGAAGGUGGCCUGUGAGGGUUGCUGGAGGUAUCAGAAGUGCGAAUGCUGACAUAAGUAACGAUAAAGCGGGUGAAAAGCCCGCUCGCCGGAAGACCAAGGGUUCCUGUCCAACGUUAAUCGGGGCAGGGUGAGUCGACCCCUAAGGCGAGGCCGAAAGGCGUAGUCGAUGGGAAACGGGUUAAUAUUCCCGUACUUGGUGUUACUGCGAAGGGGGGACGGAGAAGGCUAUGUUGGCCGGGCGACGGUUGUCCCGGUUUAAGCGUGUAGGUGUGUGUUCCAGGUAAAUCCGGUUCACUUUAACACUGAGGCGUGAUGACGAGGCACUACGGUGCUGAAGCAACAAAUGCCCUGCUUCCAGGAAAAGCCUCUAAGCAUCAGGUAACAUCAAAUCGUACCCCAAACCGACACAGGUGGUCAGGUAGAGAAUACCAAGGCGCUUGAGAGAACUCGGGUGAAGGAACUAGGCAAAAUGGUGCCGUAACUUCGGGAGAAGGCACGCUGACACGUAGGUGAAGUGAUUUACUCACGGAGCUGAAGUCAGUCGAAGAUACCAGCUGGCUGCAACUGUUUAUUAAAAACACAGCACUGUGCAAACACGAAAGUGGACGUAUACGGUGUGACGCCUGCCCGGUGCCGGAAGGUUAAUUGAUGGGGUCAGCGCAAGCGAAGCUCCUGAUCGAAGCCCCGGUAAACGGCGGCCGUAACUAUAACGGUCCUAAGGUAGCGAAAUUCCUUGUCGGGUAAGUUCCGACCUGCACGAAUGGCGUAAUGAUGGCCAGGCUGUCUCCACCCGAGACUCAGUGAAAUUGAACUCGCUGUGAAGAUGCAGUGUACCCGCGGCAAGACGGAAAGACCCCGUGAACCUUUACUAUAGCUUGACACUGAACAUUGAGCCUUGAUGUGUAGGAUAGGUGGGAGGCUUUGAAGCGUGGACGCCAGUCUGCGUGGAGCCAACCUUGAAAUACCACCCUUUAAUGUUUGAUGUUCUAACGUGGACCCGUAAUCCGGGUUGCGGACAGUGUCUGGUGGGUAGUUUGACUGGGGCGGUCUCCUCCUAAAGAGUAACGGAGGAGCACGAAGGUUGGCUAAUCCUGGUCGGACAUCAGGAGGUUAGUGCAAUGGCAUAAGCCAGCUUGACUGCGAGCGUGACGGCGCGAGCAGGUGCGAAAGCAGGUCAUAGUGAUCCGGUGGUUCUGAAUGGAAGGGCCAUCGCUCAACGGAUAAAAGGUACUCCGGGGAUAACAGGCUGAUACCGCCCAAGAGUUCAUAUCGACGGCGGUGUUUGGCACCUCGAUGUCGGCUCAUCACAUCCUGGGGCUGAAGUAGGUCCCAAGGGUAUGGCUGUUCGCCAUUUAAAGUGGUACGCGAGCUGGGUUUAGAACGUCGUGAGACAGUUCGGUCCCUAUCUGCCGUGGGCGCUGGAGAACUGAGGGGGGCUGCUCCUAGUACGAGAGGACCGGAGUGGACGCAUCACUGGUGUUCGGGUUGUCAUGCCAAUGGCACUGCCCGGUAGCUAAAUGCGGAAGAGAUAAGUGCUGAAAGCAUCUAAGCACGAAACUUGCCCCGAGAUGAGUUCU